CCUACGGGUGGCAGCAGUGAGGAAUAUUGGUCAAUGGCCGAGAGGCUGAACCAGCCAAGUCGCGUGAGGGAAGACGGCCCUACGGGUUGUAAACCUCUUUUGUCGGGGAGCAAAUCGAGUCACGUGUGACUCUUUUAUAGUACCCGAAGAAAAAGCAUCGGCUAACUCCUUGCCAGCAGCCGCGGUAAUACGGAGGAUGCGAGCGUUAUCCGGAUGUAUUGGGGUUAAAGGGUCCGCAGGCGUAGGUGCAGGCCAGAGGUAAAAUUUCGGGGCUCAACCCCGUACUGCCGUUGAAACUGCAUCACUUGAGUGCGCGAGAGGUAUGCGGAAUGCGUGGUGUAGCGGUGAAAUGCAUAGAUAUCACGCAGAACUCCGAUUGCGAAGGCAGCAUACCGGCGUGAAACUGACGCUCAUGCACGAAAGCGUGGGUAUCGAACAGGAUUAGAUACCCGAGUAGUC
Molecule: ribosomal RNA, 459 nt
Filed under: uncultured bacterium
Lineage: Bacteria
Description: partial 16S ribosomal RNA
Rfam family: Bacterial small subunit ribosomal RNA
Source: RNAcentral